Molecule: transfer RNA, 62 nt
Filed under: Dipodomys ordii (Ord's kangaroo rat)
Lineage: Eukaryota; Metazoa; Chordata; Mammalia; Rodentia; Heteromyidae
Rfam family: tRNA
About the family: Transfer RNA (tRNA) molecules are approximately 80 nucleotides in length. Their secondary structure includes four short double-helical elements and three loops (D, anti-codon, and T loops).
Source: Rfam by way of RNAcentral
GGCGCUGUGGCUCAAAGUGGUAGAGCGCUUGCCUUGUGUGCAAGAGCUCGGGGACAGCGCCC